Homo sapiens (human) is the source of this 1761-nucleotide long non-coding RNA. Lineage: Eukaryota; Metazoa; Chordata; Mammalia; Primates; Hominidae. The record is from Ensembl.
GGAGAAGGCAAAGUGCAGAGGAAGGAGGAGCCACUGCUAGUGGGUACGAGGUUUCUUCUUGGUACAAGGACUUCUACGUUCUGUCCUCCUGCAGCCAUCUAAAAUCAGCCAGAAAGGUUUAGGAUCCCAUUUCCUGUUCUUGCAUCGGCUGUCCAAGCUGCUGUUCCUCUCUCCGCAGUAAGAGGGUGUUUCUCUCCCUGUUCAAGAGGAGCACCAACACUUGAGGACAGUAUCAUCCCUAGACCUUGGCAAGAGAGACCACUGAGUGAGGCAUCCAUGGAACCCAAGGAAGAGGCCUACGAAGAACCUGCAGUCACCUUCUAGACCAUUCUCCCUCACCAAACUGUCCCCUCCAGAGAGCUGAGGACUGGAUCUUCCCAUGCUGACACCUCCAGUGGGAAAGAAAAUUCUAGAUUCAGCUCUGGGUGUCCAAGUCAUUAUGAAGGCAUAUUUGUCAAGGUGGAAGAAAAGGACAUAUUCUAUUUAGCAGUUUCCAGGGCUGUGCUGAUCAAGGAGUCUCACUGGCUCUCCAGAAGAGCACAGAAGUCCUAAUUUGUAGCCUUUGCUGACUUCCGUGAUUCCAGUUCCCUCACUGACGGCAGAGUCGGGAGGAGGAGCCGUGAUGCUGACAUGCCACACCGGGUCAAGAAAGAAGUAAUGCAUGACUCUGAUUUGCGGCUGCAGGAUAAAUCCGAACUAUUUCAGGGAGAUGUCAUGGAGAGCUCAUCUCUCAGCAUCAAAGUUGCCUCUCCUGACUUUUGAAUUUUAAGUGUUCUGUGUGGAAGAAAAAUGGAGACAACAAAUUUCUAUGCAUGGAUUCAAAGAAUCCUCGUAAUAUACAGACUACAUUCUCCCCAGCUUUUUAUCUCUAUAUAUUCUUUUUGUUGAGUUUCAACCACAUAGGGUUGAAAUUCACCUUCCCACAUUACAUUUUUCAUCAAUAGUUGAAGACCUAUGUAUGUAAAUAUCAGGAACUAUCAGAACUCCCUGCAACAGGAAACCUGACCCCCAACUCCCCCGAAAUGCAUCAUGAUAAACAGUCACUUGCCAAAAUAACAAAUCAGCUUCCUGGAACAUGCUUGCUCAAAACCAGGAGAGGAGCUUAGAGACGUCAGCUUGACUUCUGCCUCGUACGCAGGAAGGGUGACCUUCAAAGAUCAAACAUCGUCCCAAAUCUCCCUUCAUCUUGUAGUACUCCUGCUUGUCGUAGCUCCUGUUACCAUCAGAGACAGAAUGUGCUAUAACCUUCUGGAAACUUCUACUAUUUUCCUGCAACCUGACUACCCCUUAGGUGAGGGAGUCCAGAAUGCUGGCUUGAAAUGGGAGAGAGAAAGAACUGCCACAUAAUUUGCAAGAUCUUUUUUGAAAAAGAAAAGGUAUUAAGAAUUCCAGGACAGCAUUAGGAAUGUAUUAAACCAGAAUAAGGAACAGCGGAGCUUCCCCCUAAGACCCUGGUGUGUUUCUGCAUCAGGAAACCUUCUCUCCUGCAAUGUGUCGUUUAAGAUUGAACAACAUGGUGCCUUUGCCAGAAGUUAACAGGAAACCCAAAAGGAGAUGAGCCAGACUGGUUAGUUCAGAAGAGAAUCGUUGGGGAAGACAAUGGGAGCUGCUGUUUGAAUGUGGCCCUGAGAUUAUUUGUGCUUUUCAAUCCCAUGUUACCAAAACACAUUUCAAGCUGGCCUAUAAAUCACACCUUGUGCAUAAUUUUAAGUGGAUAAAUAUUUGUCGCCCAAGUGAAUGAUGCUUCCAGCUUUCAAAAAA